CAGCUGUCAAUGUGGCAUGUGUGUUCAUCAAACGUUAAUAUUUAAAAUAAAAAACAAAAAAAUUAAGUUGGCAUUAUUCCUUUUUCACUGGCGGGGACUUUCCCAGGCAGAUGCUCCCUCGGCACUUCAACUGUUUGCACGCUGCAUCGGAUCUAAAUUUCAGAGACUGAUUAACACGUCUCCGGUGGGGCAUGCAGCUGUCGUGGGGUGCUCAUGUUAUCAGCAGCAGAGAUGUAACCAAGCGUUUUUGUUACCUGUGAUUUUACUUGACAGGAUCCGUCUGCCUAUGUGGAGAAAAGGAGAGAAGUGAUACUGAGAUGCCUGAUUGAGUACAUGGGGGAGAGAAAAGAAAACCUCA
Molecule: long non-coding RNA, 358 nt
Organism: Carassius carassius (crucian carp)
Lineage: Eukaryota; Metazoa; Chordata; Actinopteri; Cypriniformes; Cyprinidae
Exons: 4
Source: RefSeq, a predicted model, not a curated record